UGAAUUUGAAUUUAAAUUAAAUUUUAAUUUAUAUAAAGUUUUAUUCAAAUUUUAUUUCAAACUUAAAUUAAAUUUAUGAAUUCAAAUUAAAAUUUAAAUUGUAAUUUUAAGUUUGAAUUUGAAUAAAUUAAAAUUUAGUUUUAUAUUUUAAAUUAUCCACUCAACUUCAAAGUUUAAUUUUUUUUAAAAAAUAGAUUUAAAAUUUUGACAUUAUUUCAAAAUUUUGAUGUAAAUUUUUAAUAUUUAAUAUUUAAUUUAAAUUCAAAUUAAUAUAUUAUAAAGAUAAUGUUAGUAUAUUAAUUUGAUUACGUUUUUUAUAUCCACCUGAACCAAACACUAACAAUGGGAAUGAUUUAUUUCGAAUCCGAUUCAAGUGAUAAACCAAACAAAAUUAGGUAAUGAGUCAUUCCGAUUCCGAUUCCAAUUCCAAUUCUAGCUUAUUUGAUUUCGUUUUCGAUUCCGACUCCGACUUCGAACCAAACACGUUCUUAAAGUGUUUAUCUUUGUUAAGUCAAAAUUUUUGAGCAGUUCUCCUAUACACCACUUUA
RNAcentral lists this long non-coding RNA (548 nucleotides) under Ananas comosus (pineapple). RNAcentral's name for it is "long non-coding RNA (ACOM_LNC002304)". Lineage: Eukaryota; Viridiplantae; Streptophyta; Magnoliopsida; Poales; Bromeliaceae. The record is from RNAcentral.